This 24-nucleotide non-coding RNA is filed under the name Arabidopsis thaliana (thale cress). Lineage: Eukaryota; Viridiplantae; Streptophyta; Magnoliopsida; Brassicales; Brassicaceae. The record is from RNAcentral.
AGCGGUCUGAAUGCCGUUGGACGU